CAAGAAAGCCAUGUCCCAGCUUGGACUGGCUUAGGGCAAGAACAAAGAAGGACACCCAGAGAGGGGCAGCAGAGCUGACUGAUGUUUGAAGGACAGUCCAGAGUGAAGAGAAUAGAACAGAGCUUAUUAUCUGACAUUGGACAAGCGUUAAUCACUUUCUAGGCAGUUCCAAUCUUGGGCAUAGAGAGUGCAAAGCCACAAAAUGUAAACCAACUCAUAACAACCUUCUUGCUCCUUGUUGGCACACAGUGAGGGCCAGUCCACCAGUCCCACCUCUUCCGAUUCUCAGGUAAAUGUGGAGUGAAUAUGCAAAUCGUGGAUCUGAAGGGGUUAAAUUUGGCUUAUCAUCACAUCUCCCUGCAGCCCGCCACUCCUCUUGCAUCCCCACACAGGUAGAGCGUUCUUCUUUGUGUCCAGCAUGGAAAGCCGUUUCUGACCAGCUCUUACCACACACUGUGAUCUCCUCGCUGUAACAGGUUGAGACCCGGUUGAUGUUUGGCAGCUGUACCAGAUGUUUCUUGGUUUCAUACAAAAGGUUCAAGACGUAGCGAGCAUGGAGCUGCUACUGGGAGGAAGAGGAGGGAAGGAAGAAAACAACACUGAUAUUCGUGAGGGAAAAUGGUCCUUACCUUUACUGCUUAACAACCCCCAUCACCUAAGACCCCAAAAGUAACCCCAGUAAACUGCUCCUGGGACUAUG
This is a long non-coding RNA of Pan troglodytes (chimpanzee), 700 nucleotides long. RefSeq lists it as uncharacterized. Lineage: Eukaryota; Metazoa; Chordata; Mammalia; Primates; Hominidae. The transcript is spliced from 2 exons. The record is from RefSeq and is a predicted model, not a curated record.